Molecule: long non-coding RNA, 2338 nt
Organism: Tympanuchus pallidicinctus (lesser prairie-chicken)
Lineage: Eukaryota; Metazoa; Chordata; Aves; Galliformes; Phasianidae
Exons: 3
Source: RefSeq, a predicted model, not a curated record
AGCUUUUACCAAUGAGCACAUUUAAAGCCGGCAGGUGUGGGUGCAGCCCUAUCAGCCUGCAUUCUCCUAUGGCUCCAUUAGGAAGUGGCUGUCUGGCUGUAGGAGGAAGGUGCUCCUGCUCUGUCACAUCCUUAUGGCAUGAGGAUUUCUUAUACCUGCUGUUCUGGCAGUGGGGAGCUGAACGGCUGAUGCCUGACUUCAUGGAGUCAUUACUCCUGUCUGCACUCUAUGGAGCUGCCCAUGAUUUUUUUUCUCCUCUCAGAUCUCACAUGCUGGAGGCUUUGCAGUGGCCCCUGUUGCAAAGAGCAAUGAAUUCUCUCCCCCUUGGAGAACAGAGGAAAGAUCGUGGGCUAUUUUGUCAGCUCUGGACCCAGCUUCAGGCUGCAGUAGCUUUGACCAUGGCUGGCCUCACUCUUGCUCUGUGCAGAUAUAUCAACUGUUUUUGUUUUUUAACCACAUGAGGGAAGAAACUGCUUAGUGAAUGAAGCCAGAUGCACAGGGUUAUGCUGAAGGACCUACAGCCCCUUUGUAAAGAGCUCCAACCAGAAGCUUUGGAAGAGGCACAUAAAACGUUUGUGGAAUUUAUUCCUGGCAAUUAAAGGACACUGGGUUGGAGCAGGGCUGAGGAGGUUCCCUGGCUUUUAUUGACAAGAAUGGGAAGAUCCAGCAACACAGGGCGCCAGAGUAGCAGCUGUGAGAAGAGCAUGCCUUCAGAUGCUGGUGAGAAAAGAUGCAAGGUAAUUCUUGCAGUAGGGCCAACUCACAAGCUUGCACAAACACCAGUUUCAGCCUGGACGAUCCCAUUGACCUGGGCAGUCUCUCCAUUCAUUAGUCAGCAUAGCCUGACUGCCCUGCGCUGCGCCCUCAGCAUGUGUUGGGACACGUUGUUCCGUGAAAUAAGUGAGUUAGAGCUUCCUGUGAGCUGCUGAAGCCCUGCUACACUGAAAAUAAAAUGCCUCGUUAAAACUGGAUGGGGUCAGAAGAUACAGAUGGGGUAUCUUCUGAGGGGCUCAAAUGCCCCUCGACUUCUUCCAUACCCAUUGUAGCAACACCAACCAGAUGUAUCCCCUACUGUAACCUGGGUGUCUUUAAAAAAAAAAAAAAGUUAAUAUCCAAAGUUAAUGAUUAACUCUUCCCUCAGAGUCUCAUUUUGACCUCUGUUGAACCAGUGGCACCAUCAGGGCAUGCUGUGGCUCUUGUUGGCCAAGGCAUGGUGCCACCAGCGUGGCCCGCGGCUGUGGACAGGACUGGUGGCAGCUGGGUCAGCACGGCUGAUGCCAUUCUCAUGACACACAGGGACCAGUGCAAUAAAUAGGAGAGCCAGAACUUUCCAGGUGAAAUGAAAUUAAAUCAUUUGUGCUUGCUUUAAUAUAGGGAUGUAUGAUAUUAUCUGUCUACAGCAUUAGUCUGUUCUGCUGCCUUUGAAGCUAAUAAUUGGUAUUAGGGUGGUGUGUUGGAGUUUCCUUGUUAGGCGAGAUUUUGGAAUGGAUCUCAGUUAUCCAGACAAAUGGGCAUUUUCAUGGUAUUACCCACUACCACAUGAUCUUACAGAUUCCUCAUCAGUGGCUGCGUUCAGGUUUGGGCAUCACUGGGGUUUGGGGUUUUUCUUCAGCUAAUUAAGAAUUGUGAGAAGGGCAAAAACUAUUUGGGGUGUUGGAGAAGAAAGGUUAAACUGGUAGAAUGAAGCAAGCUUGGCUGAGUAGUGCUUAAAGUGGUCACAGCCUGUGGUGCUGUAAGGUUCCAACAUCAGGAGGCCAACGUUCAUUGGUGCAGUGUGGGGAGAUGUAGGGAGAAGCAAAUGCAGUUGAAUUAUCUGGCUGUGCCCUUGGAAACAAGGUCUUAAAGACACACAUUGGUUUCUUGCAAACUACAUUGCUCAGAAUCUCAAGGAGAUCUGGUAGAGAGAAAUCCCACAGCAGCACAAGGGAGGCUGGGCAGCCCAGGUGCUGCUUCCAGGCUUUGGUUCGUUGGUUUUGGGUGUAGCUGUUGACUCUGUUGCAAUGGGCUUAUAUUAGGUAUGAGUUGGAUCUGGUUUGUGCAAUGGCUUGAGUUUUUUUGGAUUACGAGUGCUUAGAUGAUGGCCACAAGGAAUUUUAAUUAGGAAAGUAAGAAAGGUUUUUCUGGGAGACAGGCAAACCACGAAAAUUAUUGGCAGUGAGAAAGCCUGCGAAGAACAAGUAUCAGGGAAUGCACAUAGGUCUUAUUAAUAAUUACCUAAAUUGGGGUUUUAGGGAUAUCCACAAAAGAAUCUCUUCAAUGGCCAAGACCUAAAUGAAGUUAAUGUCCCCUCCUGUGUUUUAUCCGCUGUUCAGCUGUACUUACAGGCUCUCAGGAACAC